RNAcentral lists this ribosomal RNA (253 nucleotides) under uncultured bacterium. Its description in RNAcentral is "partial 16S ribosomal RNA". It matches the Rfam family "Bacterial small subunit ribosomal RNA", at positions 524 to 776 of the family's 1533-position model. The record is from RNAcentral.
GACGGAGGAUGCAAGCGUUAUCCGGAAUGAUUGGGCGUAAAGCGUCCGCAGGUGGCAGUUCAAGUCUGCUGUCAAAGACCGGGGCUUAACUUCGGAAAGGCAGUGGAAACUGAACAGCUAGAGUAUGGUAGGGGCAGAGGGAAUUCCUGGUGUAGCGGUGGAAUGCGUAGAGAUCCGGAAGAACACCGGUGGCGAAGGCGGUCUGCUGGGGUAAUGCUGACACUGAUGCGCGACAGCGUGGGGAGCAAACAGG